CUACGUGCCAGCAGCCGCGGUAAUACGGAGGGUGCGAGCGUUAAUCGGAAUAACUGGGCGUAAAGGGCACGCAGGCGGUGACUUAAGUGAGGUGUGAAAGCCCCGGGCUUAACCUGGGAAUUGCAUUUCAUACUGGGUCGCUAGAGUACUUUAGGGAGGGGUAGAAUUCCACGUGUAGCGGUGAAAUGCGUAGAGAUGUGGAGGAAUACCGAAGGCGAAGGCAGCCCCUUGGGAAUGUACUGACGCUCAUGUGCGAAAGCGUGGGGAGCGAACAGGAUUAGAUACCCUGGUAGUCCACGCUGUAAACGUUGGGCACUAGGUGUGGGGGCCACCCGUGGUUUCUGCGCCGUAGCUAACGCUUUAAGUGCCCCGCCUGGGGAGUACGGCCGCAAGGCUAAAACUCAAAGGAAUUGACGGGGGCCCGCACAAGCGGCGGAGCAUGCGGAUUAAUUCGAUGCAACGCGAAGAACCUUACCAAGGCUUGACAUGC
Molecule: ribosomal RNA, 490 nt
Filed under: uncultured bacterium
Lineage: Bacteria
Description: bacterial SSU rRNA
Rfam family: Bacterial small subunit ribosomal RNA
Source: RNAcentral